GGAGUGAAGCUCGAAAUGCAUGGGAAACGGAGGAAGGGAGGGAGGAAGGAAACGGUGGGCGGAAACAGCACACACCAGUAUCCGUGACCCCAGCUCCAGGGGCUUGGGGGGCAGAGGGAGGACCGGUGGCUGUUUGCCCAGCCACUCUGGGCUUUUGGACAGGACACCCCACUAAGUGGCUCAUUUGUUUUGUCACAGACCAGGGCUACUCCGGGGCAGGGGCCAUAUGGUCUCAGCUUGUCUGGGCCUGGCGCACAGUAGGACCUCCCCCAACCCCGAGCUCCCUCGGCCCUCCAUCUCCAUACACGGCACUGCCAUCCUCCCGGGCGCUCCAGCCAAACACCCAGAGAUGACCGUCAGAUGGGGUAAAAUACCGAGGGAGCUCAAGUGUGGUGUAUCUAUCACCUUUGUUCCUAAUGUAAGUACUUGUAAGUUAUUGAAUUUAUGUAAAUCUAAUAUGUAAUUUAAUUUUUUUCUAAUAAAGCAAUGCAUUUCUUUA
This is a long non-coding RNA of Miniopterus natalensis, 499 nucleotides long. RefSeq lists it as uncharacterized. NCBI's taxonomy places the organism in Eukaryota, Metazoa, Chordata, Mammalia, Chiroptera, Miniopteridae. The record is from RefSeq and is a predicted model, not a curated record.